CGUCUCUCAUUUACAACCAAUUAAACUCCCGGGAUAAAACUUAAAUAUCUCCUUCUUUUCAAGAUUUGAGGCACUUUCAAAUGCAGACGCUGGUUCAGGUAAAUUCGGAUAUGAUAUCUUGAUUCAAAUAAGACUACGACAGGUACAGCUAGUCUAUCAAAAUGUUUGUUAUUUAUUUAAUAUUUGAGUAUAGUAAAUUCUCAUCUUGUGUUUUACACAACCGUCUUAGUUUACACUGAUGAUUGUCUUGCACAAAUAUUUACCCCAGCCGCAUUAUGACCCACCGACCCAAAGGGUACCUGGGGAAAUAAAUAUGUCAUCUUUGUCUUCUUUCGGCCGGCAGUAAAAUCUUAGGUUUGGGAUUUUCCAUCCAACGCCUUGUGUAGAGAGUACGACGCCCUCUGCACGUUAAGAACCAUUACAACAACUAUCGGAUUGUCCCUGUGGUGGCAUUUUGAGUUUUAUUUUCCUAUGCCAGUCUUAAUCCCUCUCCCUACCAUCAACUGAUCCCGAUCAACCCUUAAAAUAGAUUGUUAAUUACCAAUGAUCAGUAUUGAAUUUCCAUCAACAAAUCAAUCAUGUUGCAUUUGCAUCAGUUUAUGCAUUUUGAUCCCCUUUUUUAUGUUAAAAAAGUGCAGAAUUCGGAGGUUCCUACUUUAAAGCUAAUAUUCUUAUCGUGCUGACAAUUUUUAAGAUUGUAAACAAUUUGGAAGACCAAACCUUUUGUGUUUCAAAAAGCAUUUAGCUUCUAACUUUGGUAACGUUGAAUUUGUAUUUCACACCACACUUCAUUUUGAAUGAUAGUUCACUCGUGCCUAACAAGUUC
Molecule: long non-coding RNA, 826 nt
Filed under: Mytilus galloprovincialis (Mediterranean mussel)
Lineage: Eukaryota; Metazoa; Mollusca; Bivalvia; Mytilida; Mytilidae
Source: RNAcentral